UACAGAGACUGCAAGCGUUAUUCGGAUUCACUGGGCGUAAAGGGUGCGUAGGCGGUCGGGUAAGUCUGACGUGAAAUCUCCGGGCCUAACCCGGAAACUGCGUUGGAAACUGCCCGGCUAGAGGAAUGGAGGGGAGACUGGAAUACUUGGUGUAGCAGUGAAAUGCGUAGAUAUCAAGUGGAACACCAGUGGCGAAGGCGAGUCUCUGGACAUUUCCUGACGCUGAGGCACGAAAGCCAGGGGAGCAAACGGG
This 253-nucleotide ribosomal RNA is filed under the name uncultured bacterium. RNAcentral describes it as "partial 16S ribosomal RNA". It matches the Rfam family "Bacterial small subunit ribosomal RNA", at positions 524 to 776 of the family's 1533-position model. The record is from RNAcentral.